CAUGCGAGUCUUUGCAGUAAUGCAAGGCAUACGGCUCAGUAACACGUAGUCAACCUACCCUAUGGACGAGAAUAAUCUCGGGAAACUGAGCAUAAUUCUUGAUAGAUCAUAAUGCCUGGAAUGGUUUAUGGUUAAAAUGAUUCGUCGCCAUAGGAUGGGACUGCGGCCUAUCAGCUUGUUGGUGAGGUAAUGGCCCACCAAGGCGAUUACAGGUACGGGCUCUGAGAGGAGAAGCCCGGAGAUGGGUACUGAGACACGGACCCAGGCCCUAUGGGGCGCAGCAGGCGAGAAAACUUUGCAAUGUGCGAAAGCACGACAAGGUUAAUCCGAGUGAUUUCUGCUAAAGAAAUCUUUUGCCAGUCAUAAAACCACUGGUGAAUAAGGGGUGGGCAAGUUCUGGUGUCAGCCGCCGCGGCAAAACCAGCACCUCAAGUGGUCAGGAUGAUUAUUGGGCCUAAAGCAUCCGUAGCCGGCUUUGUAAGUUUUCGGUUAAAUCCAUGUGCUCAACGCAUGGGCUGCCGAAAAUACUGCAUAGCUAGGGAGUGGGAGAGGUAGACGGUACUCAGUAGGAAGGGGUAAAAUCCUUUGAUCUAUUGAUGACCACCUGUGGCGAAGGCGGUCUACCAGAACACGUUCGACGGUGAGGGAUGAAAGCUGGGGGAGCAAACCGGAUUAGAUACCCGGGUAGUCCCAGCUGUAAACGAUGCAGACUCGAUGAUGCAUUGGCAUAUAGCCAGUGCAGUGUCGCAGGGAAGCCGUUAAGUCUGCCGCCUGGGAAGUACGUACGCAAGUAUGAAACUUAAAGGAUUGGCGGGGAGCACCACAAGGGUGAAGCUGCGGU
Molecule: ribosomal RNA, 841 nt
Filed under: uncultured marine group I thaumarchaeote
Lineage: Archaea; Thermoproteati; Nitrososphaerota
Description: SSU rRNA
Rfam family: Archaeal small subunit ribosomal RNA
Source: RNAcentral